RNAcentral lists this long non-coding RNA (670 nucleotides) under Elaeis guineensis (African oil palm). Its description in RNAcentral is "long non-coding RNA (EGUI_LNC019298)". Lineage: Eukaryota; Viridiplantae; Streptophyta; Magnoliopsida; Arecales; Arecaceae. The record is from RNAcentral.
AUUCAAAGUCGGAGGAAAGAGAAACUCACCCGGAUCAUCAUCGGAUAGAAUGAAGACAGCAUGUCAGACACACGCUGAUUCUUCAUUGCGUCAAUGUCGGCGGGAAGGAGGAGCGCCUGGCACAAUUUUCUGGCCAAGUCGUGGUUGGCCAGGCCCGACGCACCUUCGGGAAGUGGAAAGUCGGCCGAUCCUCCGCCAGCCGACCGACCUUCGUCACCCGACGCCAUGGGAGCCUUGCCUCGGCUAGACGCCCAGGCCCUGACGUCGGAGAUUGACGGCAGGCUUGACCCCGACCGGGUCUCGACCGACGGUGCGGCGGNNNNNNNNNNNNNNNNNNNNCAACACAGCCACGCUUGAGGUUCGGGACCUCAACGAAGACAUGACUAUCUCAGCCAUGAAGCGGGGCCUGAGGGCGUCCCGAUUCACCUACUCUCUGGACAAGACCCUCCCCCGGACUUACACCGAGCUACUGGAGCGCGCAUACAAAUACAUGCGCGCGGACGAAGGAGCAUCCGACCGAUGCUUGGCCGAGCCCAGAGGCCCGAAAGAGAAGCGGAGGAAAGGUCGGGAACCCGCCGAACCAAGCAGGCCCCCGACCGAUAGUCGGGUCUCGCCACCCCGACGAAUCCAAAAAUCACCCCGGUAGCAGACUCCGAGGCCGGCACGCCCC